AAUAAUGUGAAACUGCUACGUUUUGGUUGCUAUGAACAAUAUUUUGAGUUAGUUUCUGCAUAAAAAUACGGUUUGAUUACAUUUUUAGCGAGAAAUAUAUAUUCUAUUUUCAUAAUAUUCACUCAGUGAAUGUCAACCCGUUCUCACGCUGAAGAAGUCUCCUUCAGAACACAUCGCGAUAUUUGGCAUCAGUUCGCGUGUGCUGGAUGUUGGUAAGUAGUCGUAAAUACGCUGUUCUAAUGUUUGAUAUAAUGUCUUUUCUGUUUGCAGAUAUUAAUCAGAUUAACGUUAGCUCCCUCAUGUUCAGUCACUGCAUUAUAUCUGUCACCUCCGCUAAGGUUUUGCUUUUCAUUGUUUUCUAUAUUAAAUAGUACUAAACUAGGGUGAUUAAACACUGUCACGUGACGUGCAAUAUAUUGCACAAUAUAUAUAACAUAUUCAUAUCAGGUUCAAAGUAGUACAAGUGUAGUUUCAAAAUGGUAUUUGUUGUAGAAGCACGGUAAAAAAACAACACUUACCAUGCUUUUUACCACAGUAUUGGUAGUUUUAAUUUGAUUUUUGUUGUAAAUACAGAGUAACCACAACACUUAUCAUGCUUUGGAUGAAGGAGACAGAAAGCUGCAAAGGCAAAUAAUUGCAAUGAAGGAAAUCCUACAGUUAUGUAUGAACUCACAACAUCAUCAUCAAGUGCUGUGCUGGGCACAUUGGGUAACAAGUGUCCUCCAACGUAUCCAAUUUGUGACCACAUUCUCCACAUCUUCCCAUGGGACACCGACAUUCUUCAGGCCUUCGUUUCCAUGUCUUCCCCUGCAUUCUCCUGGUGGUGUCCACUUCAUAUCUGUCUUUGGGUGUUGUUGUUUGGUCAUGCUUAGGGUGUGUCCGGGGAGGUGCACCCUUCACUCUGUCACAGUUUUUAAAAGUCUUCACGUGGACUCCUCCUUAUGAUCUCCUUGAAACGUGCAGAACCAAUAUUGAAAAUAGUAAUUUAUCUUUUUCCAUAUUCUUGCCUUUAUCAAAGAAGCACCAGUGCUCAUCCGGAGUUUUGGUAAAAGUUCUAGUAAUGCUGCGACUAUAGUCAAAUAUGUAUUUCUGCAUGUGUGUAUAGCAGGUGUUUGUCCGAACAAUUGAAGUUAGUGAGAGUGUUCAGGAAAACCCUCUGAGAACAAUCAAUAUUUAUUUAAUUCUGUUUGGUGCUGAUAUAGAGUAUUACAGAAAUGACACAUUGACAUUCUGGACAUUAUUCUGUGAGUUUGUUACCUCUUCAUUUAGAUGGACUUGAAAAUGUCUUGCAUUUUGUUUCAUUAAACCUUUUAUUACAGUGUCACUAUAGUAAAUGUCCACCUUAACUACAUCUAUGGUAUCAUUAUAUCAGUACCUGGAUAAUGUAAAUGUAACAUACCCAUGAAUGUAUUUUAUAGAAGCAUUUUAUUGCUGAAAAUAUUUAACAUUUAUAAAAUGCAUUAACUAUU
Molecule: long non-coding RNA, 1469 nt
Organism: Megalobrama amblycephala (Wuchang bream)
Lineage: Eukaryota; Metazoa; Chordata; Actinopteri; Cypriniformes; Xenocyprididae
Exons: 2
Source: RefSeq, a predicted model, not a curated record